UACAGAGGUCUCAAGCGUUGUUCGGAUUCAUUGGGCGUAAAGGGUGCGUAGGUGGCGCGGUAAGUCGGGUGUGAAAUCUCGGAGCUUAACUCCGAAAUUGCAUUCGAUACUGCCGUGCUCGAGGACUGGAGAGGAGACUGGAAUUCAUGGUGUAGCAGUGAAAUGCGUAGAGAUCAUGAGGAAGACCAGUGGCGAAGGCGGGUCUCUGGACAGUUCCUGACGCUCAUGCACGAAGGCCAGGGGAGCAAACGGG
This 253-nucleotide ribosomal RNA is filed under the name uncultured bacterium. RNAcentral describes it as "partial 16S ribosomal RNA". It matches the Rfam family "Bacterial small subunit ribosomal RNA", at positions 524 to 776 of the family's 1533-position model. The record is from RNAcentral.